Long non-coding RNA from Trifolium pratense (red clover), 2856 nucleotides. RefSeq lists it as uncharacterized. The transcript is spliced from 2 exons. Lineage: Eukaryota; Viridiplantae; Streptophyta; Magnoliopsida; Fabales; Fabaceae. The record is from RefSeq and is a predicted model, not a curated record.
AAGUGAAACAGAGAAAAGAGAUUGAAUAGUUGAGGUGAAAGGUUGCCUUCAACUAUGGUUAGCUCUCAAUAUCAUCUCCUCUAAGUUUUUUGGCAUCUUGUUCAGUAUAGUUCCUGAAAAUUCAUUUUUCUCCUAGUUUAUGACUACUAAGAUCUUUGACAAUAGAAAAUUACCACAUAGCUUAUUUCUCCACACAUUAAUAUUAUUCCAAAUGUUCCAAGUUUUGCCAACUAAGUGGAAUUGAUCCUAAGAAGGAGUUCUCAGACAAAUUUGCCAACUAUGUGGACUUAAUCCUGAGAAAGAGUUCUGAGAUAAAUUCACGCGUCCAACCAUUGGCGAUAUGGUUGGUAGUUUUCCUGUGAAAUUUCUAAGGUUUGACAAUGUUGAUGGACAAUGAACAAGAUCUUCUCUAUGGUGGUACAACUUUAGAGGCAAGGUAAUUUUACCACUAGUGAUGAAUCCAAAGCAUUCAUUAUUGUUGUAUAAGUAUAAUUCAAGAAACCUGGAUUGAAGCAAGGAAAAGGUUGCAAAGUCUCAUUUGAUGGUUUCAAGUGUUUUGUCCAGGACCAAAAAUCACUGAAUAUGAUUUUUGUUCUGUUGAAAACUCAGAAGGAUAAUAAGAUCCAGCUUUCAAUGAUAAGAAUGUAUGUGCCUCUAAUAACCUGACCUAAACUAUAGUGUUAUUUGGUUUUAGUCCCUAUUUUUUUUUUUGUUUUGGUUUAGUCCCUACAAAUUUAAAAAUUGUUGCUUUUAACCUCUGACAUCCUAUGUGAUCCAAUAUAAUCACGCCAUGUGGCCCAAUAAGCUGAACGUUAUGGACUAAAAAUCAACAGUUUAAAAUUUAAAGCGACUGAAUCCAAACCAAAAAAUUUACAAGGAUUAAAACCAAAAAUUUCUAUAAUUGUAGGGACUAAAAUCGUAUUUAAACAUAUUUGAGAAUGAUCAGAGAAAUGACCUUUUCUUUCAUUAGUUUACUGUUUCAUGCAAACCAUGAAAACUGCUUAAGCAUAUUAUCUAGAAAAUUUAUUAAUCUACUAAAUUUUCAUGUUUCAAAAUUGUAAGUUUUUUGAGCUUUGGGGCUUUCCCUAACCUCGACGAGCUUCUGAAACCUAACUCACCUAGCAUCAAAAGGAAUUGUAAAAGACAAAUCAUGAAAAUUAAUAAUAGACCUAUAACCAAUUGCAAACACAAAAUAUUCACAAAUCUCUCUGCAUCAUUAACUAAUAAUAUCCACAAAUAUAUAACCCUACACUUUUGUGCAAGGAGGAGUGUUUAGUAUUUUACUUAUAGAAUAUGAACUCUUAGCCUAAUGCCUUAAAGAAGAAUUUGGUGUCCACAAUAAAGUCUCAAAUAAAGGUAUUAGAUUCAAAAACUUCUAAUAUACAUGACAUGACAAUGAAAGAAACAAUGCAUUAUUAAAACUAAAAGUAGCAAAUAUGUUCUUCUUCAAAAGAGUACAAAAGGGAAUAUAAAUAAUACAUUAUGUAUUUUACAGAUAUCUUGAAAGAGCAUAAAGGGGAGUAAUUACAAGAAUGACCAUGUAACUCAAAUCCUUGAAGGGAUAAGAGGAAUAUUGUUCUGUAAGUAUGCACUGGCAGCAGCAACUCCACUUCCAAGCUUGACUGGAUAACCCACAUCUUUGAGUAUCAUCUCCACACCAGCAAGACAUCCCAACAGUUGCAACUGAAAAAUGUUUAAAGAAUUAACAAUUUCAAUGGCGUAAUGCUUUUGUAAUAAUUUGAUAUUACCUAACAGAAUAAACAUUAUCUAGCAUACUUGAAAGAACGGGACCUUGAUGAUAUGCUCAUCAAACCUAUGAAACACAGACACAGACACCAGAUACAACACUGAUAUGUCAUAUGUAGACACCGGUAAUGAUUUAAGAAAAUACGCCAGCAAUUUAAAGUAUCGUGCUAUUCAGCACCGGACAAUGUGUUUUGUCGCACUAUUAUAUUAUCCAUGAAUAUGCUAAUCAGCUAUGAAACACCUACACAAACACCAAACACAUACUGGCACUGACACAUAAACUCUGGGAAAUCAACAUUACCUCAUUCAAGUUGCCAAGAUGACCAAUUCUGAAAACCUUUCCAGCAACUUUGUUUAGUCCCAAACCUAAGCUCAAAUUGUAUCUCUUCCACCCCCUUCUAACGAUUUCAGCACCGUCAAUGUAAGGAGGAACAACAACAGCUGUCACAGUGUCACUGAACCACUCUUCCUCUUGAGUGCAGUUCUUCAAGCCCCAUGCCUCCACAGCAAGUCUGUAUUUAGCAUAUUGUCAAUCGCAUAUCAUGAAAAUAACAUUUUGUUCAAAUUUUGCUAUCUUAUAACCUUUAUUUGACAACACUUUGUAAAAUAUCGUAUUGCAAAACAAUAGUAAUUUGUUCAAAUUCUCCUACGUGAUAGGAGCUAUUUGACAAAACUGAUUUUGCUCUCUUGUAAAAAAUUAGCAUUUUCUUGUUGAAGUGCUUGACAAGAAAAUUAUGUCUUACCUGGUUGCUUUACCUAAACGAGCAUGUCUUUCGAUAAUAUUUUCUAGUCCUUCCUCGAAAAUCAGAUCAAGAGCUGCUCUAAGACCAUAGAGAAGCUGAAUGGAAGGAGUGUAAGGCCAAUAAGUUCCCAUUUUGUAGAAUUUCAGGUAGUCACUCCAAUCAAAGAAAACUCUAAGUGAUUUAGCAGAUUUUGAAGCUUCAAUAGCUUUAGGACUUGCAACCACAAAUCCUAUCCCAGUAGGAAGGGAAAGGGCUUUCUGAGAACCAGUUAUGGCCACAUCUACUCCCCAUUCGUCCAUACGGAAAUCAAGAGCACAGAUGGACGACACUCCAUCGACAAGGAGGAGGGCUGGAUGCUGGUAUGCAU